AGCGAACGCUGGCGGCAUGCCUAACACAUGCAAGUCGAGCGCCCUCAGCAAUGGGGGAGCGGCGGACGGGUGAGUAACGCGUAGGAACGUAUCCUGAGGUGGGGGAUAACCCUGGGAAACUAGGGCUAAUACCGCAUGAUGGCGAGAGCCCAAAGAUUUAUCGCCUUGGGAGCGGCCUGCGUCUGAUUAGCUUGUUGGUGGGGUAACGGCCUACCAAGGCGAUGAUCAGUAGCUGGUCUGAGAGGAUGAUCAGCCACACUGGGACUGAGACACGGCCCAGACUCCUACGGGAGGCAGCAGUGGGGAAUAUUGGACAAUGGGCGAAAGCCUGAUCCAGCAAUGCCGCGUGGAUGAAGAAGGUCUUCGGAUUGUAAAGUCCUUUCGGCGGGGACGAUGAUGACGGUACCCGCAGAAGAAGCCCCGGCUAACUUCGUGCCAGCAGCCGCGGUAAGGCACGACUGU
This 462-nucleotide ribosomal RNA is filed under the name uncultured bacterium. Its description in RNAcentral is "bacterial SSU rRNA". It matches the Rfam family "Bacterial small subunit ribosomal RNA", at positions 29 to 532 of the family's 1533-position model. The record is from RNAcentral.